AAUUGAAACAAAUUAUAAACCCAUCAGAGAUUAACAAUACGAGACUGUAGAAGAUCAAUCCUCAACUUGACAAUAUACAACAAUCAACAACAAGAUUGGGAAGGCCUACUGAAUUUCUGAAUGAAUUUCCAACAAUUUUACAUAGCGUUCUUUGAUACCAGUUAAGACAUUUUUAACAGAUUCAUGAAACUCUAAAGCCAUUUAAUUAACUAGACUCAUUACUAGACGUUGAAUUAACAGAAACUUUUAACACAUUCCAGUUUUAAUAUAACAGUCCAAUCCUAGAUAUCAGUUACAAAAAGUAGUCCAAAUUAGUCUACCAGAAAUCAUAAAUAUACAACCAUGUUUACUGCUAAGAUCAACACCAAUCAAGUAACAACAAUUAAGAAUCUCAAUGACUAAGCUAUGACAUCAAAACAUCUUCCAAAAUGCAUAGACUUGAGAAUAAUUUUCAACUUUAAUUUGGAGCUACAUCAAGGUUUUGCAAAGAAGUGUACCUGGAUUUAAUUGAAGAGAACAAGUGAAAGUUGUUAGCAAUAGUAUUCAGCAGUAGUAUAAUAUUCAACAACACCAAUUAGCCCAAUUUUAACCCAAAAAUGCAUUUGACAGUCCAGAAAAAAUUCAGAAGAAGACAGACUCAGAAAAACCCACUCAUAAACCACUUGAAUCCAGCCAAAUAAAUUCACAACUGAACCCAUCCAAUCUAGAAUACCUUCAACAAUAGAAAUAACUACACAACAACUCAAAGAGACCUCAACCUGACUCCAAAGACCAAAUCAAGCAGUUUCAGAAUGGAACAUUACUAUUUUUUUUUAAUUUUUGUUUUGUUUUUGGUUUUUGUAUUUUAUCUACUUCACAUCUAGACGAAUUAGAAUGGCAAGAGUAUUUGGGAUCUAAUAACGGCUGAAAAAGAGAAGACCCCUUCACAUGGCACAUGCAAUGCCUAUUUAUAGGUAACCCAAGUGUGGUGAAUCAGAUUUUGUUUUGUAUUUUAGUCCAUCUCUCUUUUAUCUUUUGGUCCCUUUAUUUCUAGAUUGUAGCACAAAUGACCCUUAUCUAAAAGUUCCUAGGAGUUAUACAUUAUUCUUGUGACUAUCAAAUUCCCACAAUGCCCCUGAACUCAACUCAAAUUUACUAAACUAUUUCAAACGACUAAUUCCAACUCUCCAGGUAGUUACUUAUCAAAUAUACUUAAUCAUAUUCUUUGCCACCCCCUCAAUUAACCCCCCUAAGUCAAUUAGUUAAACAAGCAACUAAUAAUCUAACUAUUCAGACCAAGCAAUCAAUAUGUAACUCAAGUAAACACUUAUCAUGACGAAUUAUCUACCGAUUAACUACUCAAUUAUGAAUUCAAAACUAACUAGAAUUAAAAUUAAAAUAAAGGUUCAAGAACUUACACAUGCAGCUAAACAUAAGGAAAGAAGAAAUAGACUAAUAAAGAAAAAGAAGGCUAGGAACUCACUGAUGUACCCAGAAACUCCGGCCAGCAUUCGAUGUCCAAAUCUUAAAAAAUUUCUAACACGUAACAUCCCCAACCAUGUUUUUCAUAGGAAAACACAUGGUUAUGGAUAUUACGGUCUGAAAUCACAAAGAUUUUGAGUUAGGAUUUUUUGGCUGAAAAAUUGUAAAUUGAUAUUUGAGCACUUCCUGGCAGAUUCGAGAGAUGCCACUAUGAGGGUUUGGUAGAGUAUGCCUGGGUGGUUCUAUGGUGUAAAUUUGGGGCUGCUUGGCGUAUGUGGUGCUCGCCGAAAAAUAUUCCAUGAAAUAUUUGGUGGUUUUUGGUGAGAUUCGAAGGAGACUAAUGGUGGGAAUGGGAAUAGGGGAGAAAGGCGAGUUAGUGGUGUAGAUUUGGUAGCCAUUGGAAUAAGUGGUCUUCACUGCUGGUGGUGGCUCCGGCGGUGUUACAAUCUCUAAUACGAGGAAGAUGAGAUGAAGUUUUAGGGUGAAUGACAAAAUUCGGAC
RNAcentral lists this long non-coding RNA (1962 nucleotides) under Nicotiana benthamiana. RNAcentral's name for it is "long non-coding RNA (NBEN_LNC013336)". The record is from RNAcentral. Lineage: Eukaryota; Viridiplantae; Streptophyta; Magnoliopsida; Solanales; Solanaceae.